GGUUGACCUCGGAUUAGGUAGGAAUACCC
RNAcentral lists this ribosomal RNA (29 nucleotides) under Daldinia macaronesica. RNAcentral's name for it is "partial 28S ribosomal RNA". The record is from RNAcentral. Lineage: Eukaryota; Fungi; Ascomycota; Sordariomycetes; Xylariales; Hypoxylaceae. RNAcentral also lists the same sequence under 2 other names.